RNAcentral lists this ribosomal RNA (450 nucleotides) under uncultured bacterium. Its description in RNAcentral is "partial 16S ribosomal RNA". It matches the Rfam family "Bacterial small subunit ribosomal RNA", at positions 354 to 796 of the family's 1533-position model. The record is from RNAcentral.
GUGGGGAAUCUUCCGCAAUGGACGAAAGUCUGACGGAGCAACGCCGCGUGAGUGAUGAAGGUCUUCGGAUUGUAAAGCUCUGUUAAUCGGGACGAAAGAGCCUAGUGUGAAUAAUGCUAGGAAGUGACGGUACCGGAAUAGAAAGCCACGGCUAACUACAUGCCAGCAGCCGCGGUAAUACGUAGGUGGCAAGCGUUGUCCGGAAUUAUUGGGCGUAAAGCGCGCGCAGGCGGAUCUGCCAGUCUGUCUUAAAAGUUCGGGGCUUAACCCCGUGAUGGGAUGGAAACUACAGAUCUAGAGUAUCGGAGAGGAAAGUGGAAUUCCUAGUGUAGCGGUGAAAUGCGUAGAGAUUUGGAAGAACACCAGUGGCGAAGGCGACUUUCUGGACGAUGUCUGACGCUGAGGCGCGAAAGCUAGGGGAGCGAACGGGAUUAGAAACCCGAGUAGUCC